This 233-nucleotide long non-coding RNA is filed under the name Vitis vinifera (wine grape). Its description in RNAcentral is "long non-coding RNA (VVIN_LNC008076)". The record is from RNAcentral. Lineage: Eukaryota; Viridiplantae; Streptophyta; Magnoliopsida; Vitales; Vitaceae.
UUUUUUGUAGUUAUUUUUUGUUGGCAUUUUUUGCAAUUGUAUUGUUGGAUUUUCGUGUGUGUUUCUUUCUUUCUUUUUUUUUUUUUUUGAAUGUUCAACUAGGAUUUUGGUUCAGGUUUUUUGGUUGGGAUUUUAUUAGUGGAAUUUUUGUUAGGAUUUUUUGAGGUUGUCCUUUAGUGGUAAUUUUUACUAUUUUUUGUUAAUUUUUUUUUGUAGUUUCAUUUAAACUUCUA